GACGCAUCGCGUAACUUGUUUCUCCUUAUUGGAUUGGGAGGGGGCGAGGAAGCGGUGCCAGGAAAUAGCUCCACAUAUAGGCCGUACCCGAAAACCGACACAGGUGGGAAGGUAGAGUAUACCAAGGCGCUUGAGAGAACGAUGUUGAAGGAACUAGGCAAAUUGCACGCGUAACUUCGGGAUAAGCGUGGCCCAUUGGUACGCAAGUAUGAAUGGGCGUCACAAGCCAGGGGGGUGGCGACUGUUUAUUUAAAACACAGGGCUCUGCGAAGGCUCCCAAGCCGACGUAUAGGGUCUGACGCCUGCCCGGUGCUGGAAGGUUAAGAUGAGAGGUGAGAGCUUUGAAUCGAAGCCCCAGUAAACGGCGGCCGUAACGAUAACGGUCCUAAGGUAGCGAAAUUCCUUGUCGGGUAAGUUCCGACCCGCAUGAAUGGCGUAACGAUCUCCCACUGUCUCCAGCAUCG
RNAcentral lists this ribosomal RNA (464 nucleotides) under uncultured bacterium. RNAcentral describes it as "bacterial LSU rRNA". It matches the Rfam family "Bacterial large subunit ribosomal RNA", at positions 1548 to 2030 of the family's 2925-position model. The record is from RNAcentral.